GACGAACGCUGGCGGCAUGCCUAAUACAUGCAAGUCGAGCGAAUGGAUUGAGAGCUUGCUCUCAAGAAGUUAGCGGCGGACGGGUGAGUAACACGUGGGUAACCUGCCCAUAAGACUGGGAUAACUCCGGGAAACCGGGGCUAAUACCGGAUAACAUUUUGAACUGCAUGGUUCGAAAUUGAAAGGCGGCUUCGGCUGUCACUUAUGGAUGGACCCGCGUCGCAUUAGCUAAUUGGUGAGGUAACGGCUCACCAAGGCAACGAUGCGUAGCCGACCUGGGAGGGUGAUCGGCCACACGGGGACUGAGACACGGCCCAGACUCCUACGGGAGGCAGCAGUAGGGAAUCUUCCGCAAUGGACGAAAGUCUGACGGAGCAACGCCGCGUGAGUGAUGAAGGCUUUCGGGUCGUAAAACUCUGUUGUUAGGGAAGAACAAGUGCUAGUUGAAUAAGCUGGCACCUUGACGGUACCUAACCAGAAAGCCACGGCUAACUACGUGCCAGCAGCCGCCGUAA
Molecule: ribosomal RNA, 515 nt
Filed under: uncultured bacterium
Lineage: Bacteria
Description: partial 16S ribosomal RNA
Rfam family: Bacterial small subunit ribosomal RNA
Source: RNAcentral